ACUGAAUAGAUACCCGGGUAGUCCACGCUGUAAACGAUGAGUGCUAGAUGCCGGAUUUUUUCGGUGUCGCAGCUAAACGCAUUAAGCACUCCACCUGGGAAGUACGAUCGCAAGGUUGAAACUCAAAGGAAUUGACGGGGGCCCGCACAAGCAGUGGAGCAUGUGGUUUAAUUCGAUGCAACGCGAAGAACCUUACCUAGGCUUGAAAAGCUUAUGACCGGCUGUGAAAGCAGCUUUCCCGCAAGGGCAUAAGUACAGGUGCUGCAUGGCUGUCGUCAGCUCGUGCCGUGAGGUGUUGGGUUAAAGUCCCGCAACGAGCGCAACCCUUACCAUUAGUUGCCACCGGAGCAAUCCGAGCACUCUAAUGGAACUGCCUACGCAAGUAGUGAGGAAGGUGAGGAUGACGUCAAGUCCGCAUGGCCCUUACGCCUAGGGCUACACACGUGCUACAAUGGCCGCCACAACGGGCAGCAAAAUCGCGAGAUGGAGCGAAUCCCUAAAAAGCGG
Molecule: ribosomal RNA, 507 nt
Filed under: uncultured bacterium
Lineage: Bacteria
Description: bacterial SSU rRNA
Rfam family: Bacterial small subunit ribosomal RNA
Source: RNAcentral